GUUUGGGCGAGGACAGUGGCCGCAAACGCAAAAUGAAAUUCCAAGCCCCUGAGUUGGAGGUCUUAGUGGAACAAGGUAAUUUAUAUAUGGAUCAUGUUCAGCAGAGAAAUCUUAGCGCUGCUGGAGGAAAGGCAUUAUGGGAGGCAAUUUGCGAAAAAGUUAAUUAUGUAAGCAAAGUGAGGAGAUCUGUAGAAGACAUUAAAAAAGUGACAAGAUCUACGCAGAAGAAGAAAGGAAACAAUGUCCUUCAACCAAACCUCUGCAAAAAAAAACAGGCAGGGGAUCGGCAGAAGAGGUACCGCUCUCCCCAAUUGAGCAACAUGUUCAGCUGUCGUUCUUGGAAAAGCAGAUUGUUGGAAUCGGGGAUGUGACUCUUUGGACUAGAUCGCUGACCAAGCGUUCCUCAGAGGGAGAUGACAUCGGGGGAAUAACAUCGGCCGUGCUGUGGGGGCGCUUUGUGUCAGAGUCCUGGUGGCCAUGGUCUGAUUACCUCCUGGGGAAGAUGGCUCCUGUGAUAGUGCUUUAUAAAUAAAGUUUGAUUUGAUUUUGAUGGCUGGACAGCGGCGCAACCUGCACAAACGCAAAACCCAGAUUAAAAAAUUCGGUCUAAGAAAAAAAAAUUGUCAAAGGCACGCAAAUAAAAUGUUUUUGUAAUUAUUGUUGAUAGUUUUCUGUUCUGUGGUGGCUGUAAAGUACAAUUUUUUGUUUUAAACCAUGCCACACUAUUUAAGUUCAUUCGUUGCCAUUUGUGCCUUGUUUGAUUUCAUUAAAAAUGCAAUCCUUAA
Long non-coding RNA from Entelurus aequoreus (snake pipefish), 785 nucleotides. RefSeq lists it as uncharacterized. The transcript has 2 exons. The record is from RefSeq and is a predicted model, not a curated record. Lineage: Eukaryota; Metazoa; Chordata; Actinopteri; Syngnathiformes; Syngnathidae.